GAUUAAGUGUUGUAGGGGCAUUUGGUGGAUGCCU
Molecule: ribosomal RNA, 34 nt
Filed under: Rhizobium sp. Trp-2
Lineage: Bacteria; Pseudomonadati; Pseudomonadota; Alphaproteobacteria; Hyphomicrobiales; Rhizobiaceae
Description: partial 23S ribosomal RNA
Source: RNAcentral